RNAcentral lists this ribosomal RNA (253 nucleotides) under uncultured bacterium. RNAcentral describes it as "partial 16S ribosomal RNA". It matches the Rfam family "Bacterial small subunit ribosomal RNA", at positions 524 to 776 of the family's 1533-position model. The record is from RNAcentral.
UACGUAGGGGGCAAGCGUUGUCCGGAAUCAUUGGGCGUAAAGAGCGUGUAGGCGGCCAGAUAAGUCCGCUGUGAAAUCUCGAGGCUCAACUUCGAGCUGUCGGUGGAAACUGUCUGGCUAGAGUCCGGAAGAGGAGAAUGGAAUUCCUGGUGUAGCGGUGAAAUGCGCAGAUAUCAGGAAGAACACCGGUGGCGAAGGCGGUUCUCUGGGCAUGACCUGACGCUGAGGAGCGAAAGUGUGGGGAGCGAACAGG